Molecule: unclassified non-coding RNA, 338 nt
Filed under: soil metagenome
Description: partial contains 5.8S ribosomal RNA, internal transcribed spacer 2, and large subunit ribosomal RNA
Rfam family: 5.8S ribosomal RNA (bases 2-119)
Source: RNAcentral
GUGAAGAACGCAGCGAAAUGCGAUACGUAAUGUGAAUUGCAGAAUUCAGUGAAUCAUCGAGUCUUUGAACGCACAUUGCGCCCCCUGGUAUUCCGGGGGGCAUGCCUGUCCGAGCGUCAUUGCUGCCCUCAAGCACGGCUUGUGUGUUGGGCUCCGUCCCCCCGGGGACGGGCCCGAAAGGCAGCGGCGGCACCGAGUCCGGUCCUCGAGCGUAUGGGGCUUUGUCACCCGCUCUGUAGGCCCGGCCGGCGCCAGCCGACAACCCAUCAUCCUUUUCAGGUUGACCUCGGAUCAGGUAGGGAUACCCGCUGAACUUAAGCAUAUCAAUAAGCGGAGGA